GUGGGGGCCACCCUUGUGGUCAUAAGAUUUAUGUCAUGAUGUUAUGUAGAUGUGUAUGUGAUUUGCUUGUUUAUUGCACCUUAUGGUUUCCUGGUUUCCCGUGUCUUGUGUGGUGUGUGCUGUGUCCGUGUGUGUUCUUUGGACAGCAGCGCGUCUACAUGGGUUCCAGGCUUGGUGUCUGUGGCAGGUAGGUGAGGGUGUAGUUUC
Molecule: long non-coding RNA, 207 nt
Organism: Bufo bufo (common toad)
Lineage: Eukaryota; Metazoa; Chordata; Amphibia; Anura; Bufonidae
Exons: 3
Source: RefSeq, a predicted model, not a curated record